AUCCUGGCUGAGCCAUCUACUCCACUGUAACCGUGGGCAAGGCACACCCACAGACGUGGGCCUCCGUUUGGCCACCUGUACAGUGAGGAGGUUGUAUAGAAAGCUCUGAGGUCCUUCCUCGGCUCUGACAAUCGUGAUCCGCACACCUGGAUACAACCAGGGCAGUCCCUCGCAGGAGGUUCAUGUGUGCUUGUGAAACGCAAGCACAUUAUCUCAGAGGCAAAACAGCUACAGGAAAGGAGGAAGAGUCCAAUGUGACAGAGAAAAGGUGGGAGUGAGGCUGCAGAAUGAAACAGAGGGGGAAUCACCGGAAAGCAUCCUCCAUCUGCCUGGGAAGACCUGCAUCAGGUGACUCUUCCACUCACCUUUCCUUACCACCUCCUUCCAGCACAUCUAGAGGUAAACACCAAGAAGCACAAAGGACGAGGAGGAGCUGCUGACCCAGUAGAUGCAGUUACAGCCAAAAGAUCACACUUGGGUUUUCUUUUUGCCAAACAAUUUGAAAAUCUAAGGAGAGUGCUGAUGUAUAGACUAGCUAAAUGGUUAUUAAACAAGUUUUUUCUUCCUGGGCACACAAUUAUACUACAUUUCCCAGCCCCUUUAGAAUUACAUGGAGCCAGGUGACAUGUUCUUGCCACAGUGAGCAGAAGUGAUGGUCCUGACAGGCUGAGGCGGGUACGAGUAGGUGGGCCUUCUCCAUUUCUCUCUGCCUCGACCCUUGUCUACUGGCCAGCUGAUGUCAGGGUUUCCAAAAGGCCACAAGGUGAAGAUGGCUGUGCCUCAACACGGAAGGAGCUUGGGUCCCUGAAUGACUGUGUGGAGCAGAGCUCACUGACCGCAUUGAACUGUGACAAAAGCAAGUGAUAAACUUUUCUUGUCCCAGAUCACUGAGAUGUUGAGGCUAGUCUGUCACAGCAGUCAGCGUUAUUUCCUUUAGCUGAGACCUUUGCAGCCGGGGUCAUGGUCUUUGCAAUCAGCGUCUUCAUCCUCUUCUCCUGAAGUCUUCAACAGCUUUACAAAAAUCAGGAUCGACUUUUUUGUUCUUUGUUCUUUGUUCAUUUUAGAUUUUAAUGAAUUUGUCAGCAACAAAGCAUUUUGUCAAAUAAUUAUUAAUGAGAAAUCAAUUUUAAGAAAGCCCAAACCAAUGUAACAGCUCGGUAAUUAAUCAUUCAAAAUGAAAAAUUGGACGUUUAAGGCCUGAUGUGCCAUUCAAGUAAAAUUACAGAGAUUUGCUUCAAAACAUCAUCUAACAUUUUAGGGGAACAAGUGCUCCCUGUUUCCUCCUCUGAGUCUGUUUUCAGUUCUUGAACUGUCCAACGCUCUGUGUCAACUCUUUGGAAUGUGCAUCUCAUGUGUCCUUUACUGAUGAAAUGUCAUGAGCUGCCCUUCGACAUUCGGCAUUUCCCAAACUUGGCACCAAAAGGAUUUGCCUUUGUUCACUGUAACACAAUUGUCAUCUUUUUUCUAAAGUCAGAUUUCUGAUUCUCUUCCACUGGGCCCAGAAAAAUUUAUUUCCUUUACCAUUUCUACCCUAAUUUUGGGUUUUCAGGCCUGAAAGUGAUAUCGUGGGAACCAACAGAGGACUUGGAAAUCGGAAGAGAUGAGAAUACGGAGACCCCUCUCCAGUGAAUUUCUGCACCGGUCGCUUUGCUCAGCUUUCCCUCCUGUUCCUGAAACGUCUUCCUCAUUCCUCUCAGCCUCUCUAAAUUCUCCAAAUGCUUCAAGUUUCACUAAUUCCCUUAUAAGGCUUAUAGAAUUUCCCACAUGGACCCUCAGUAGGUUAAAAUUUCCAAGAGCACAAAGAACACUUUUGAUUGUGUUCUUCCUCAUUUCCCCACUGUCUAGCACUGUACUUAGCGUUUGUCAGACGCUUAAAAUAUACGUGCUGAAUGAGUUGAUGGCUUUGAAUGACUGGGGGAAUUUUGGGUCCUUCACUCAUCUCAAGUAAACUGUGAAUCAUCAGAAAGAAUAGAAGGAAAAGAGAUUCAUUCUUCUCAAAACACACACCGUCUGUACCACAUAAUUUAGCAAUUAAUUAUGAUUAAUUUAGCAAUUAAAAUGAGCAAUUUAAUGCUCAUUUUGACAGUACAAAGAACCGGCAGCAUUUGUUUCCAUGUCACUUUAAGAACAUUUCCAGCUCAACUGACUGACUUAGGAGGAAUAAUAAUCACAAGUGACAGUGUCCAUGACGGCCUCCACCCAAAAACAUAAAGCGGACUAUUGUGUUCUUGCAGAUAUGAUACGCUUUGCAUUUUCUUUCUCUUGUUUUAUUUUUUAAUAGAAAUAUCUGUUGAUCUACAUGGCAUUCUCUGGAGAAUAUACGAGCUGGGUGUGAUGGGUAGAAUAAUGCCUCCCUCCCCCAAAGAUGUCCACUGUGACUAUGUUAUGUUACACGUGAGAGGGAAUGAAGGUUGCAGACAGAAUUAAGGCUACUAAUGAGCUGACUUUAAAACAUAGGAGAUUAUCCUGGAUUACCUAGGUGAGCCCAACAUAAUCACAAAGCCCAUACAGGACCUUUGUGGAGGAGGGAAGCAGAGGAGGCGGUAUUGCAGUGAUGCAUGUGAGAAAGACUCCACUGGCCAUUGCUGGCAUUGACCAUGGAAGAGAUCCAUGAGCCAAGGACUGAGGGAAGCUCCUGGAAACUGGAAAAGUCAAGAAAAUAGGUUUUCCCUUACAACCUCCAGAAGGAAUGCAGCCCUGCCAACACCUUAGUGUUAGCCCAUUGAGACGUGCUUUGGAAUUCUGAUCCCCAGAACAAUAAGAUAAUAGAUUUGUGUUGUUGUAAGCCACCAAGUUUGUGGUAAUUUGUUACGGCAACAAUAGGAAACUAGUACAUUAGGGGUUCUAAAUAAAAAGACAAGGAUGGGUGCAGUUGCAUUUUACAACUUAUCAAAAAAAGAUACAAUAAAAG
RNAcentral lists this long non-coding RNA (2911 nucleotides) under Equus caballus (horse). RNAcentral describes it as "lncRNA (ENSECAG00000048874.1)". The record is from RNAcentral. Lineage: Eukaryota; Metazoa; Chordata; Mammalia; Perissodactyla; Equidae.